This is an RNA transcript of Rhinolophus ferrumequinum (greater horseshoe bat), 9398 nucleotides long. It is a transcript of the gene named zinc finger protein 207, with no coding region annotated. NCBI's taxonomy places the organism in Eukaryota, Metazoa, Chordata, Mammalia, Chiroptera, Rhinolophidae. The transcript is spliced from 14 exons. The record is from RefSeq and is a predicted model, not a curated record.
CAGAGCAGCGAACGAGGGCGUCGGCCAUUUUGUGCCUGUUUCCUGUGGAACGCGGUGGUGGCCGUUGGGUCCGAAGAGUGCGCGAUUUUCCCCUCGUUUUUCCUGUUUAUUAUCUCCUCCCUUUUAAUUUGUAGAGCGCAGUUAUGGGUCGCAAGAAGAAGAAGCAGCUGAAACCGUGGUGCUGGUAUUGUAAUAGAGAUUUUGAUGACGAGAAGAUCCUUAUACAGCACCAAAAAGCAAAACAUUUUAAAUGUCAUAUAUGUCAUAAGAAAUUGUACACAGGACCUGGCUUGGCUAUACAUUGCAUGCAGGUGCAUAAAGAGACAAUAGAUGCUGUACCCAAUGCAAUACCUGGUAGAACAGACAUAGAGUUGGAAAUAUAUGGUAUGGAAGGUAUUCCAGAAAAAGACAUGGAUGAAAGAAGACGGCUUCUUGAACAGAAGACACAGGCAGAGAGUCAAAAAAAGAAGCAACAAGAUGAUUCUGAUGAAUAUGAUGAUGAUGACUCUGCAGCUUCAACUUCAUUUCAGCCACAGCCUGUUCAACCCCAACAAGGUUAUAUCCCCCCAAUGGCACAGCCAGGAUUACCACCAGUUCCUGGAGCACCAGGAAUGCCUCCAGGCAUACCGCCAUUAAUGCCAGGUGUUCCUCCUCUGAUGCCAGGAAUGCCACCAGUUAUGCCAGGCAUGCCACCUGGAUUGCAUCAUCAGAGAAAAUACACCCAGUCAUUUUGCGGUGAAAACAUAAUGAUGCCAAUGGGUGGAAUGAUGCCACCUGGACCAGGAAUACCACCUCUGAUGCCUGGUAUGCCACCAGGUAUGCCCCCUCCUGUUCCACGUCCUGGAAUUCCUCCAAUGACUCAAGCACAGGCUGUUUCAGCACCAGGUAUUCUUAAUAGACCACCUGCACCAACAGCAACAGUUCCUGCUCCACAGCCUCCAGUUACUAAGCCUCUUUUCCCCAGUGCCGGACAGAUGGGGACACCUGUAACAAGCUCAAGUACAGCUUCAUCCAAUUCAGAAAGUCUGUCUGCAUCUUCUAAAGCUCUGUUUCCUAGCACAGCACAAGCUCAGGCAGCUGUCCAAGGACCUGUUGGUACAGAUUUCAAGCCCUUAAAUAGUACCCCUGCAACAACUACAGAACCCCCAAAGCCUACAUUCCCUGCUUAUACACAGUCUACAGCUUCAACCACUAGUACAACAAAUAGCACUGCAGCUAAACCAGCAGCUUCAAUAACAAGUAAGCCUGCUACUCUUACGACAACCAGUGCAACCAGUAAGUUGAUCCAUCCAGAUGAGGAUAUAUCGCUGGAAGAGAGAAGGGCACAGUUACCUAAAUAUCAGCGUAAUCUUCCUCGUCCAGGACAGGCUCCCAUUGGUAAUCCACCAGUUGGACCAAUUGGAGGCAUGAUGCCACCACAGCCAGGCAUCCCACAGCAACAAGGAAUGAGACCCCCAAUGCCACCUCACGGUCAGUAUGGUGGUCAUCAUCAAGGCAUGCCAGGUUACCUUCCUGGUGGUAUGCCACCGUAUGGGCAGGGACCACCAAUGGUGCCCCCUUACCAAGGUGGGCCUCCUCGACCUCCGAUGGGAAUGAGACCUCCUGUAAUGUCGCAAGGUGGCCGUUACUGAUCUCACUUCAUCCAAUCUAAUAGGUUUUUAGAAGUGAAGUAUAGUAAAUUUGGUUCGUUAUAUUGUGAAGGCGCUGGAAUUACAUGAACAUACCACCUUAAUAAAGCCCUGCCAUAGGACAGGCUGAGGCUGAGUCUCAGUGUUGCCCUGUUCAGUCUGAGGCAAGUGGGAUUUAUUUUAUUCCUUAUAGGGGCUUUCACAGCUUGAUGGCUGUUGGAUAUUUAUGUCCCCAAACUUGCAGCAAGUUUGGUGAAGGCCCCUAAAUUUAAUUAAACGUAGGAUUUUUAUACUCUUGGCAGAGAAGGCUCUAUAUUAAUAUUCACGUUUGACUGUGGUGUUAAUAAAAAGUAUUUGAUAAUAUGUAAUUUUAUGUAACUUACUUUGUGUUAUAACAGCCUUGUAAAGCUGUUGCUGCUAUAUUGAACUUUAGUAAAUUGACAGAAUUUGAUGUUCUUAAUUUGGAGGCAUGAAAUGUUUCAUUUAAAUUUUCCACUUUUCACUUUUAGGAAAACCUUACUGGUAAUAUAUUUUAUCUUCAAACUGUUAAAUUUAACCUCAAGGAUAAGUUUAAUUAUUGGAAAUGCCACUGGGUACUGAAUUAAUCCCAACGUUACGCAUUGAACAUUUGAGGUUGAAAGAUCAUCUGGAAAUGCUUGUGAUUUUUAAUAUUUUUAAAACCUCACCACAUUAGAGCAAAUGUUAAUGUAGAGCCCUGUGAAAAGUGGGAAGGUGGUGUGUGUGUGUGUGUGAAUGCUUAUACACUACACAUUUGAGAUAAUAAAAGAGUUUGAGUAUUACAGACCUAUCAGUGUGGAUAGAUGCUAAUUUUCAGGUAGCCAAACUGAAUUCGUGUCGUGGUAAAGUUAGUAUAUUGAACUAUGGUUUUGAAACGAUAAUUUUGAGGUUCAUUUUUAGCCUUACUGCACAGUAAUUUAAGCAAUAUGCAUACAUGAGAAGUAUCCACGUUUGUUUUCAACUAAAGUUUCUUUUAUUCGAUGAGAACAAUUGUGUUUAUGUCUGCAUGUUGUAGGGGGUAAAGAGGGAACUGGAAGAGGCCAAAACAGAAACCUGGAUUACCUUGAUUCCUUCCUGUGUUUAAGCCACCAUUUUAUCCAGAUAGCAUUUUCCUCUGAACAGUAAUAUACAGUACAACGUUUAGCAAACCCAGAUUGUGUUCCUGUGUUGUUUUAAUUCUUGGAAGCAUAAAGAAAAACGCAUUAAAUGAAUUCCAAAUUUUCACCUGUUUAUUAAAACAUACGCUUUUCUCUGUAACUGAAAUCAUGGGGGGUAGAUUUUAAUGUCUGAUACAAGAAUUUUGUCACAAUAAAAAUAUUCCAUUGGAAUAUUUUAUAACCUACUCAAUAAUUACACCUUUUAAGCUCCUUAGUUGGAGAUGUCUUCUGUUGCACUCACAAUCCACCAAUGUACUGAAAUAUUCAAGAGUGAAGCUAUUGACAGAGUUUGUCGAGGAUGAUACAGAUACCUAAUUUAAGAUGUAGUUUCUUUGAUAUUUCUGUCUGUGACUCAAAUACGAUUUUAAGAAUUACACAACUUUCAGGUGUCUAUUAACGUCCAUUGGUAAAACUUGGUAAAUGAAAGGAAAUGUUAAGUCACCUCUUCACUGAGGUAAAAUUUUGUUUGAGUAAAUUAACACUUGUGUUGGUUAGGGGAUAAAAUAAUUAAGUACCCUAAAAUUUUGUGUAAAUCAGGUUUGUCUUUUUUAAAAGAUGGUACUUACCUACCUAAUAUUGAAUAACCUUUGUAUCUUACUCCAAAAUGAAACCAUUUUCUCUUAACUUUUAUGGAAAGGUCUUUAAAUGGAGGGGUUCAGUUAUUAUUAGACUGUUCAGUAUAAGACAGAUUUUUGUAGGUAAAUAUUCCCCUAAUUAUACUUCUGCUUACUAACUCAUGAUUUGAAUAUUAGUAAAGUUUACUGCCUUUUUUUAUCCCUUAGGUUUUUAUUUUCUGUCAUCUGAAUCAUUUUAAUAAAUAACUUGUUUUUCUAGCAUAGAAACCAUCUUAAGUUUUCUGUGUAAAAUUUCUUGGCAAAAUAAGCAAUUACUUUAAUGAAGUAUGUGAACAUAAUUGUGAACAUAGUGAUACAAUUCUGUAAUGUUUAAUUUUCAGAACUAUACUUUUAAUAUUUUGGCUCUUAGGUAUUCCCUAUUAUGCAUCUAAUUCAAAGUAAUGCAUAGGAAAUGGGGAAAGCAGGACCUAAUACUUGAAAUAUCGCCAACUUUUCCAAGUCUUCAUGUUCUUAGCAUUUUUGUUGGGAAAUAACAGGUUUAAAAGUAGCAUUUUUUAAAAAACUAGAUUUCUUCAGUGAGAGAGGGUCAGAAGAGAACGGCUUUUUAUUAGCAUUGUUUUUCCUGUUUUGGGCUGUAUACAUUUUUGCAUAAUAAUUUGGCCAGGAAAGGAAGAUGUUUUCAUUUUCUUCCCAAUUCUGAAAAACUAAUAGCUUGAAACUAUGUUAGUUUGAAAUUUUUGAAUCAUCUCUGUAAACCUGUUCAAUUACUAUCAUGUGUCCUCGGGAACAUACCUGUAUUAAGCAAGAUGUAGAACUCAUAUUAAGCCAGAAAUUGGAGAGCCAAAGGAGAUCUUCAUUGAAGCUAAUUUGAACUAUUUCCAUUUGAAGCAAAUCGAAUACUCUUAUAAAUCAAGACUGGUUCGUGUUAGGUUCUUUAGGAGGCAUGUAAUUACCAGCUAUAUUAUGAGAAUAUGUGUAUGUUUUAUUUUGAUCAAAUUACAGAGAAGAUAACGUGUGAGUAAACCUUUAAUGAUUGAUUAUGUGGAACCCAUCCAUUCUCUAGCCUGUAAUGGCACAGCUUCAGUAAUGUGCUAUGUAUUUGGUCAGGGGUUUGUAUAAUGCUGUGUUUGUAAAAUGAGAAAUUCCUUUAUUGGAAUUCUCCAAGCCGUUUGGCAUUUUUACUGUGUGUGGGGUUUUUAAAGUAUUUAUGCCUUCACCUUCAGUGAAUUUUUGAGGAACUGGCAAUGAAAUUCAUUGAUGCCCAACUUGGAUAAAAAUGAAGAAUGGUGUGUGCUGCCCAGUGAACUACACAGACCAAUAGCGAUUAUUUGGGAGAGGCCAUUGUAUAAUUUUGUUAGACUUAAGAACCUUAAAUGUAAUGAAAGGUAACCGCAUUCCUGCUCUUGCUUUGCAUUUGUUACUAAGAUUUCACCAAAUCAUUAUAACGUAGUUUAUGCUCAAUAUUCAGAUACUUAAGCAAUCAGAUACGAAAAUAAUUAAGAUUUGCAGCAUCAUUUCCCAGUCUCUAAUGAAACAAGGCUGCUUAACUACACAAGUGAACCAAGGGGAGGGUUAUUAAAGUUCUCUUAAGUUUGAGUUAGAAAUGGGGGGCAUGUAGUUACUGAGCAAAGCUUUUUCGCUAUUAGCUUGCUUUAGUGUACAUCCAGGAGAAGCAGUAGAAUUUACUUUUCAGCCCAUGUUUUUGAAAUUGAAAAUAAUAAGAAAGCGAAAUCAGUUUUUUGAAAAUCAAAUUAGAAACUAUUAAAAAUUGUUUGCCUCUGUAGGGUGUGUCUUCAUAUACUUAAAUUUAGAAAUUAUCGCAUUGAAGAGAUUUUUUCCCUAGAUAAAUGCCCCCCCCCCCCGUUUUAGAGUAAGCAAAAUUUCCAUGUAAUACACAUUGGAAUUCAUAGUUUAUUAAAAUUGAGCUGUGUCCAAGAGAUAUACAGUGUUACUAACUCAUUCUCAUAAGGUCACUCGAACAGCUAAUGUAAUUUUUGUAAGACUUAGGGAAAGGAAUUUUACUGUAUUAAUGUCAGGCUCUGAGGAAAUUUAAUGCACAUUGACUUUUUAAAGUAUGGAUUGAACUCCUCAGUUUAAUACAAUUUGUGUUUUUGUUAACUAGCAGCAGAAUUUCAGCAUUUGCUACUUACUGGUAGAGAAGAAAAAUCCCACAGCCCUGCCAGUACAGGUUAGUUUUAUCUGUAAGUACCUGAUGUUCCUAUUUUUUUCAAACAUAUCCAUAUAACCCACACAAGGAAGAAAGCUGUGCAGUUUCUUAAAUGUGAGUAUAACUAUUAGGUCCAUUGGACACUUUCAGACACUCAAUACUUGGGCCAAUUAGCUCUAGGUUUGUUAAAUAAGUUGUAAUAAAGGUGUAAUACUCCUUUAUUGUUUGGUUGUGGUUGGACCUAAAUAGAUAUAUUGUACAUAAGAGGAAAAGACAGUGAAAGUUUCUGAUGGCUAUGUGCUCAUUUUGGUAUCUUAUAACGGAGUGCAGGGCUUGGAGUCGAGGGCCUUUUACUUAAGCCACUUCUGUGGUGGUACUCAGUUACCUUUUAACUUCUUACAGUAUGAAUCAACCUAAAAAAGUCAAGUUUCCUCAUUUGUAACAGUGAUAAUGGUGUACAAUCAUAAGCUAGAAAAUGUUUUUAUAUUGCUUUUUUGUUUUUAGUACUUGCUGUAAAUAAGUACUAGUUUUGUUCCUCUUUUUUUGUAAACUAUAACCUAUUGGUGCACCACCACCAUUUGUUCAUUCUACUUUGAGCUAAGAAUAACAAGUCUUUUUAAUAUUCAAAUGAAAGCUGACUAACCAUCAAGAAAUCUAGAUAGAUUCUUUGUGUAUUUCUUUUGAGGGGCAACAGCGUUGUAACUGGGCUGUAAAAGAUUUGUUAAAGUUCUUAACUAAUUUUAUUGGUUCUACCAGAGUUCAUUGUUGUCUUGAACCAUGCUUGAGAGAUUUCCUUUAACCUUUAAAUAAUUGUGCUCUUAUGUUGAUAAAAGUUUAAUACCGAGGAGAGAAGAAGAAAGUAUACAACAGAGUUUAUACAAGCCGAAACCAUCCUUUCAAUCUGUAGCAUUGACUGGGAUGCGAGGCUUCCUCCUUUACAGCUUAAGUGUAAUGAUGUCUGAUUUGGGACAGUCUGUCCAUACAACUAGCUGAUCUUGUACUCCUAUUCAACUGGGAUGGUGAUUAAGCACUGAAAAUGCAUUACCUUAAUGUUAUUUUAAAUGAGUCAUGUUCAGUUCAAUUUUUUUAAAACCUCAAUUUAUCAACAUAAAAUAUAUUUUAUAAGAUAUCCAUUUGUUUUUAAUAUAAAAUUGCCUAAGGGCUUAAGUUUCAUUGCCUUUCACAGUUUAAUCUGUAUAAGAAAUGGCGUAGAUACAGUGGAAAUGGUUUUCCUUAAAACCAUCUCUUUAAAGCUGCCUUUCUGGUGAGUACUGUUUUAUACUUUUAUAUAUCACAAUUUUUCCUUUUAAAUUUAACUGAAACACAGGACACUUUGAUCAAAGAGUGAGCGAUAUGAAUUUCUACACUCUUUAGAUAUUACCUGAAUUGGGAAUAUUAAGAAGGUGAUUAUUUUAGCUACUAACAUUUCCCUCUUAAUCUGGGCUGUUUUUCUGACCUCCACUUAACAAACUGUAACUGCAAAAACUUGCACAAAUUAUUUCCUUUUGGUGAGAUGGAAAGAUUUUUAUCUAGCAUUUACAAUUUUUUUAAGCUUAAAUUUUUUUUUCAGUUGACAGCCAAAAGAUUUUUCUCUAUGCUAUUGGCUCCCACGUUGUGUAGGUGUAAAAUUAAAAUACCAGGCAGGAUUCCUGUCUGUUCUUGUUGAAGCUGUUGUUGCAGUGAUUUAUAAGCAAUGAAACUGAGGGUGGGGUUGAAGGAGGGCUGGCCUAAAAUAUGUUUAUGUGGGCUAAUUGCUUACAGGAUUCUUUUUGAUGCUUGAAAAUUGCCAGUGUAUUCUUAAAUUUAUUUUUAAUUUUUUUGUUGGUAUUUUUCAAUUAUAGUUGACAUUCAAUAUUAUACUAGUUUCAGAUGUACAGCAUAGUGGUUAUUUAAUUUACAAAGUGAUUUCCCCCGAUAAGUCUUCCAGUGUAUUCUUAAAUCGAACCUUGCAUGAAAACCUUAGGUUAAAGAUACUGCUUUCUGGGACUUGUAUAUCCGUAAAAAUUAGCUUCUCGGUAUAUUUUUAGUUACUUUAUGCCCUGUUUAAUACCUUCUCUAAGUGUAACGUAUGGGUUUUCCCCCCCUCUCGUCUUGAGCCACAUCCUAGCUGGUGUCAGUAUACGCUAAGGAUGUUUUCAUAUUUUAUCUCCUGCUGAUCUUUGUAAACCAUAAUGAACCGUCACCUCUAAUGCUUUUUAGUCUGGACAGUGAUAGUGUUCUAAAAUCUGAAAAUUGUUAUCUGAGUAUGUGAUAACGGUGAUGUAUUCUUCUAGAUAAGUACUAAACAAAGUAUGGAAUCCCAAUUUAUGUCUUUAAGAUUUAAAGUGAAGUAAAUUUCUAAGGAACUCUGUCCUUUCCUAGCAAGGAUUAAGCAGACAUUGAAAAUUUGGUAAGUAUUUAACUUUAAAUGCAUGUGGUGGUAGUGCUGAGAGUAAAGUAGCCAAAUUGCCAUAGUUUUAAGAUAACAUUUAGAUACGAACAAGAAUUCUCGACUCUUCUUUGCGACCUAAUAAAUGUAUGUGUGUCUAGCCGUUUUAUAAAUUUGUGUGUACAAUGAUUAAACUGAAAUGUACCUUACUUCUUUGGCUUUUCUUUUUAUUUUAUAUGGUUCUUUAAAUACUAAUUUUAUAUUUCAAGCUUUUUUCAGGGUAAAACUAAGUGACUGGUAAAGAAAAUAUCUUCAAGAAGAAUUAUUUAAAUGUUUCCAUUUAAAAACCCAGUGGUGUCUUUUCAGUUUACUUAAGUCUUCUGUUUUCCAGCUCCAGUUAAAAUUGACAGUAGGCAACUGAUCGCAAAAAUGGGGGGAAAGGACCUUUGCUCUCUGUGGAAUGUUUGUAGGAAUCAUUGUAUUACAGUAAAACGUCAUUAAUCCAAUAUGUGAUUUUCAUGGAAAAGGUGAUGAGAUUUGGACUCUCCCCUCCCUCCUCCCUGGGAUGUUGUAUUAAGAAGAUAAUAAAUGGAAGUUGAAGUGAAAUCAUUUAAUUGCUACAGCAGGGAAGGUGAUUUAUUUCUGAAUAAUGUGUCCAUUUCUUUCCAAAACAGUAUAGCAUUGUUUUGUGAAGCAGGACAAGAUCCCAAAGGGUUGUAGGAAAGAGGGCGCCCUUUCCUCAAUUUAGUCUCUAGGUUUAACUCCAGCAUUGUACUGGUUAGGAGGGAAAUGGAGAGCAAGUCGUACAAGGGAUCUGUCUGAUGGUAAGGGGGACCCGAACAAAACACACAAGGGAGGAUAAAUGGCUAGACUGUGUGUAUGAGUAAAUGGUCUAGCUAAACAAAGAAAAUGUGACUAAUAGCUUAAUUUUUAAUGUAAGUAAAUGAACUCACUAAACAUUGUAAUUAAAUAUUAGUUUUAAAAUCAACAUUAAAACUAGCAAUUCUUGCACUUUGUGGAGGCUUAUUCUAAAAAUUGUCUUACACAAGUAAUAUUAGUGCACUUUGUCACUUAGAUAUAUCACCUGGAAGCCGGUGCAGAAGAAAAAUGAAAUGGAACAACGUAGUGUUUACCUACAUUGAAUUUUAGUCUACUGGUAGGCUUUUGGGGGUAAGAGAUGUUUCUUAGUGUGUGGUGCCAUAUAAUAAUUAGACUGGGACUCCAAAAAGGCACUUAAGGUUUUUGUUUCUCUGGAGGUGGUCCGGAGGUGUUGGUUAGGCUUUAAGAAAGCCAAAAACUACCAUUUGAAAAAUGGUGUUUUAUUUUCAUGGCCUUAACAAUUUUUAGUUUGUGUGUUUUCAUUCAAAAGUGGAAUUAUUUUUGCUUCUGCGUUAAAAGCAAGCCUCUUUUUCCAAGAUUAUGGUUGACCAUUAAGAAACAUUUAAAUGCUUAUUUACAUAGAUGAAUAAAAUUUUUCAUAUAUUA